UACGUUGAAACAUCGGUUCUCGUGCGAUAAUCGAAGUUAAGCAUCUUUGAACCUGGUCAGUUCUCAGAUGGUUGACCACUGGGGAAUACCAGGUGAUGCAAU
Acanthosepion pharaonis is the source of this 102-nucleotide non-coding RNA. The record is from the annotation of a GenBank genome assembly. NCBI's taxonomy places the organism in Eukaryota, Metazoa, Mollusca, Cephalopoda, Sepiida, Sepiidae.